CACGUGGAUAACCUACCUAUAAGACUGGGAUAACUUCGGGAAACCGGAGCUAAUACCGGAUGAUAUUUUGAACCGCAUGGUUCAAAAGUGAAAGACGGUCUUGCUGUCACUUAUAGAUGGAUCCGCGCUGCAUUAGCUAGUUGGUAAGGUAACGGCUUACCAAGGCAACGAUGCAUAGCCGACCUGAGAGGGUGAUCGGCCACACUGGAACUGAGACACGGUCCAGACUCCUACGGGAGGCAGCAGUAGGGAAUCUUCCGCAAUGGGCGAAAGCCUGACGGAGCAACGCCGCGUGAGUGAUGAAGGUCUUCGGAUCGUAAAACUCUGUUAUUAGGGAAGAACAUAUGUGUAAGUAACUGUGCACAUCUUGACGGUACCUAAUCAGAAAGCCACGGCUAACUACGUGCCAGCAGCCGCGGUAAUACGUAGGUGGCAAGCGUUAUCCGGAAUUAUUGGGCGUAAAGCGCGCGUAGGCGGUUUUUUAAGUCUGAUGUGAAAGCCCACGGCUCAACCGUGGAGGGUCAUUGGAAACUGGAAAACUUGAGUGCAGAAGAGGAAAGUGGAAUUCCAUGUGUAGCGGUGAAAUGCGCAGAGAUAUGGAGGAACACCAGUGGCGAAGGCGACUUUCUGGUCUGUAA
Molecule: ribosomal RNA, 638 nt
Filed under: uncultured Staphylococcus sp.
Lineage: Bacteria; Bacillati; Bacillota; Bacilli; Caryophanales; Staphylococcaceae
Description: bacterial SSU rRNA
Rfam family: Bacterial small subunit ribosomal RNA
Source: RNAcentral